GACGAACGCUGGCGGCGUGCUUAACACAUGCAAGUCGAACGGAAAGGCCCUGCUUUUGUGGGGUGCUCGAGUGGCGAACGGGUGAGUAACACGUGAGUAACCUGCCCUUGACUUUGGGAUAACUUCAGGAAACUGGGGCUAAUACCGGAUAGGAGCUCCUGCUGCAUGGUGGGGGUUGGAAAGUUUCGGCGGUUGGGGAUGGACUCGCGGCUUAUCAGCUUGUUGGUGGGGUAGUGGCUUACCAAGGCUUUGACGGGUAGCCGGCCUGAGAGGGUGACCGGCCACAUUGGGACUGAGAUACGGCCCAGACGGCUACGGGAGGCAGCAGUGGGGAAUAUUGCACAAUGGGCGGAAGCCUGAUGCAGCAACGCCGCGUGCGGGAUGACGGCCUUCGGGUUGUAAACCGCUUUCGCCUGUGACGAAGCGGGAGUGACGGUAAUGGGUAAAGAAGCACCGGCUAACUACGUG
This 468-nucleotide ribosomal RNA is filed under the name uncultured bacterium. RNAcentral's name for it is "partial 16S ribosomal RNA". It matches the Rfam family "Bacterial small subunit ribosomal RNA", at positions 28 to 507 of the family's 1533-position model. The record is from RNAcentral.